This 239-nucleotide long non-coding RNA is filed under the name Volvox carteri. RNAcentral's name for it is "long non-coding RNA (VCAR_LNC001242)". The record is from RNAcentral. Lineage: Eukaryota; Viridiplantae; Chlorophyta; Chlorophyceae; Chlamydomonadales; Volvocaceae.
AGAGCCAUUAAUGUGGCGGCGAGUGAGGAUGUUGACGUCCUCUCCCUCUCGAUUGGGCUCGGAGCGCCUGAGGGCGAUGUGCCUGUUGGUCUCACAGACCUCCGGGAGAGAACAAACCACAGCUAUAGGUGGGGCUUCCGCCAUAAUACUACUACUACUGCAUUUCGCGCCUUCCGAAGUUAAUGGCCCCCUCGUAAUUAACUUCAACGCCCCAUAGGCUGGGGGCAGCCACAGAAGGC